AGAGUUUGAUCCUGGCUCAGGACGAACGCUGGCGGCGCGCUUAACACAUGCAAGUCGAGCGAGAACCAGGGCUUCGGCCCUGGGGACAGCGGCGAACGGGUGAGUAACACGUGGGUAAUCAACCCCCGACAUCGGGAUAGCCCGGGGAAACCCGGAUUAAUACCGAAUGUCCCGUCCGGCUCUCGGGCCGGCCGGAGAAGGUAGCUUCGGCCUCCGGUCGGGGACGAGCCCGCGGCGGAUUAGCUUGUUGGUGGGGUAACGGCCCACCAAGGCGACGAUCCGUAGCUGGUCUGAGAGGACGAUCAGCCACACUGGGACUGAGAGACGGCCCAGACUCCUACGGGAGGCAGCAGUGGGGAAUCUUGCGCAAUGGUCGGAAGACUGACGCAGCGACGCCGCGUGUGGGAGGACGCCUUUCGGGGUGUAAACCACUGUUGCCCGGGACGAACUGGCGGUUUCGACCGCCCUGACGGUACCGGGUGAGGAAGCACCGGCUAACUCCGUGCCAGCAGCCGCGGUAAUACGUAGGGGGCAAGCGUUGUCCGGAUUUAUUGGGCGUAAAGAGCGUGUAGGCGGCUGGAUAGGUCCGUUGUGAAAACUCGAGGCUCAACCUCGAGACGUCGAUGGAAACCCUCCAGCUAGAGUCCGGAAGAGGAGAGUGGAAUUCCUGGUGUAGCGGUGAAAUGCGCAGAUAUCACGAAGAACACCCGUGGCGAACGCGGCUCUCUGGGACGUGACUGACGCUGAGACGCG
Molecule: ribosomal RNA, 753 nt
Filed under: uncultured Actinomycetes bacterium
Lineage: Bacteria; Bacillati; Actinomycetota; Actinomycetes
Description: bacterial SSU rRNA
Rfam family: Bacterial small subunit ribosomal RNA
Source: RNAcentral